CUGGUCGGGGACGGUGAAGAUCUCUCUGGCCUCCUCAUAUGAGCAGAUCUCCUCCAGACACUCGCGCUCCAGAUCUCCCAGCUUCAGCUCCUCCAGGAAAGAGUUCGCCCUGCGCACACGCGGAUGCAGCGGCCGGUUCGCCUCUGCACGACUCAAGAACACUGCAGAUCAUGGACACACACACACACACACACACACACACACACACACCGGAUGAAGAAGACACAGGGUCUCUGAUAUUGCAGGCAGACGCUGAACUGCAGAGUCUUUCCUCUUUCUCAG
Molecule: long non-coding RNA, 282 nt
Filed under: Danio rerio (zebrafish)
Lineage: Eukaryota; Metazoa; Chordata; Actinopteri; Cypriniformes; Danionidae
Description: si:ch1073-411k23.1 (ENSDARG00000096573.1)
Source: RNAcentral